AUGCACCUCCCGCUGCCUCCACCGCCCCUGCUGCUGCUUCUCGCGGCACUCGCGGCCGCCGUCACUACCUUCCGGCCCGACUGGAACCGUCUGCACGGCCUGGCCCGAGCCCGGGUAGAGACCUGUGGGGGAUGACAGCUGAAUCGCCUGAAGGAGGUGAAGGCCUUCGUCACCCAGGAUAUCCCUUUAUAUCACAACCUGGUAAUGAAACACCUUCCAGGGGCUGACCCAGAGCUCGUCCUGCUGGGCCACCGCUACGAAGAACUGGAGCGAAUCCCACUCAGCGAAAUGACCCGCGAGGAGAUCAAUGAGCUGGUGCAGGAGCUCGGCUUCUACCGCAAGGCGGCGCCCGACGAACCUGUUCCCCCUGAGUACCUACGGGCGCCGGCCAAGCCCGCCGAAGGCGCUCCGGACCGCCCUGACCUUUAGGUCCGGGGACGCGGGCCCACCUCCUCCCCCGCCUGAGCCCUGGGGACAGAAUGAAGCGCUCAGCGUCCCGGGAGCACCUCCCUCGCUGAGGGCCGACGCCUCGUCCCUGAGCCGGCAGAGAUGGAGUUGGGGUUUCCUCCUAACCCCUUUCUUCCCUACCCAGCUCAAUUAAAUCCUCUUCCGCCUUA
RNA transcript from Odobenus rosmarus divergens (Pacific walrus), 617 nucleotides. It is a transcript of the gene named selenoprotein M-like, with no coding region annotated. The record is from RefSeq and is a predicted model, not a curated record. Lineage: Eukaryota; Metazoa; Chordata; Mammalia; Carnivora; Odobenidae. The transcript is spliced from 5 exons.